UGCUGUUUGAUUCAGCUGGUGUUUGCUACU
This 30-nucleotide non-coding RNA is filed under the name Rattus norvegicus (Norway rat). Lineage: Eukaryota; Metazoa; Chordata; Mammalia; Rodentia; Muridae. The record is from RNAcentral.